Molecule: ribosomal RNA, 255 nt
Filed under: uncultured bacterium
Lineage: Bacteria
Description: partial 16S ribosomal RNA
Rfam family: Bacterial small subunit ribosomal RNA
Source: RNAcentral
CACGUAGGGAGCAAGCGUUGUCCGGAUUUAUUGGGCGUAAAGAGCUCGUAGGCGGCUCGGUAAGUCGGGUGUGAAACCUCCAGGCUCAACCUGGAGACGCCACCUGAUACUGCUGUGGCUAGAGUCCGGUAGGGGAGAGUGGAAUUCCUGGUGUAGCGGUGAAAUGCGCAGAUAUCAGGAAGAACACCCGUGGCGAAGGCGGCUCUCUGGGACGGUACUGACGGCUGAGACGCGAAAGCGUGGGGAGCAAACAGG